Molecule: ribosomal RNA, 253 nt
Filed under: uncultured bacterium
Lineage: Bacteria
Description: partial 16S ribosomal RNA
Rfam family: Bacterial small subunit ribosomal RNA
Source: RNAcentral
UACAGAGGCCUCGAGCGUUAAUCGGAAUCACUGGGCUUAAAGGGUGCGUAGGCGGCGCUGCAAGUGCCUUGUGAAAUCCCAUCGCUUAACGAUGGAACUGCUCGGUAGACUGCAGUGCUUGAGGUUGGUAGGGGCUGCCGGAACUCUAGGUGGAGCGGUGAAAUGCGUAGAUAUCUAGAGGAACGCCCAAGGCGAAGGCAGGCAGCUGGGCCAAUUCUGACGCUGAGGCACGAAAGCGUGGGGAGCAAACGGG